CUUUAACUAUAGCAACUACUAUAUUUAACUAUAUUAGCUACCAGUGUGUAUACACAAUGACAGUAUACAUUGAUAAAUGAUUAACUGAUACAUUCAUUUAUCAGUCACCCAUCCAACAUUUAUGAUCGAUUUAUUGUGAUUAAUCAAUUAAACCCAAACCUGUUGUUUUUGACUCUAAGAGGAAACUGGACACAAGAAAUCCCACAUGGAAGAAACAUUCAGACUCCAUUCAGAGAAACCAUGAAUUACCUCCAGCUAUCAAAGUGAUUUUUGUACUGGAUGUCAGGAGCAGAUAGCAAAUUGCCCAGUCCAGAAGAUUAAAUGUUAUUCAAUGUAUUUAUUAAAUAUAAGAGACUAUGUCUGAAAAAAAAGGCUUUGGACAUUCAGAUCAUCUGCAUAUACAGUGAAUAAAAGUCUAUGAAAACAUUUUUCAGUGUAUUAUUUAAACUGCAGUUUCACUCCUUAAAAUACGAUUGGCCCAUAGAUCACACUUUUAAUAGACAUCUGUGUCCAUUCUGAAAAUAAGUGGUGAACUAUGUGUAUACUAUAACAAAUACAAUGAAAGGGUUAAAUUAUACAAAUGCACUCGUAGUUGCUGGAAGAACAGAGUGACAUUCAUUGAACUAAUGGUGACAAUGCUUUAACCAGACUCCUAAAACAUUAGACCACUGAGUCAACAUUAACAUGGACUUUCUUUACUAUAGACUUUUUGUAAAGACAACCAGACUCUAAGCUAAGCUCUGGUGGGCCACAUAAACUGAUAAGGUGAGUCUCAUUUGGCCCGCAGGGCUUACAACUCGCUGUAAUGGACAAACAGUUUUUGUUGUCAAGUAAAAAAAAUGAUAUCUCUCAUAACAAACUGGGGAUGAAAAAAUUCUGGAUUAACUGAUAAGGGGCUGCAAGGUGUAAUUUAUUAGAAAAGAAAUGCAGUAAAUAUUUGUAACAGCACAUGUCAUAUACACUAUCGCCUCCUGCUGGUUUUCUUCAUCCUUGUUAUAGUCUAUACAAUGGAUCUUCAUUUACUAUUGUUACAUUUCUUUACGUUUCUUCAGCCUUUGUUGGAGUAUGAAUAAAAAACAAGUUUUGUUCAACCCUAGAGCAGAUUGUGACAUAUUGUAGUCUCUCAAACACGCACACACACACACACACACACACACACACUGUGCUUCAUGAUGCAACCAGAUCUAAGCACAGAAAGCUGAACCUGAUCAUUCAAAUGUCCUGGGAAUCUAAUGAUGUGCCAAGAAGGCUCAAGUUCACAAGCAACAACAAAAAAAAAAUUCAAGGACGCAGGCCACCUGCUGCUGCUCGAACAAAACAGCAGCCAAACACGGCAGGUUACUGAGGCUGCUCCUCAGAAGCACUGAUCAGCAGCCAGUGCAACAUAAGCAUUGAUCCAGACAAAGCCAGUCCCUCUAACCAUCAAUUAUUAAUGGUAAAUGACAAUAAUCACAAGGUUUUUAGGGUCGACUGGUUGGUCGGCCGUCCUUUCAGAGGCAGCCAGCUGUGCUGCAGGUGAAACGACUUUCCUUUUUUUUUUUUCUUGUUUUUGUUUCACUGUUUAGUUUACUUCAAAACAAAACAAAGGGGCUCAGUACCUGUGGCCUGCAUCAGAUGGCGCUGCUAUCGAAACAAUGCUAAAUGUAGCACUCAACGUAGACUUACAAAACAACUUAGACUAUGAAGCUAACACCUACAUGUAUGUUUAGAUGUAAACAACUGACAGUUGUAUUGUAGUCACACAACAAAUAUCACAUUUACAGUGACUGGAACGAUAGCUAAUGAAUUCAGCAGUCCUACAACAGAUGGUUGGAAUAUUUCCGGAUGACAUUUUUUGAUAACAGACCUAAACUAUUAGCAGUAAUUGUACACAAUGUUUGCUAGCUGAGUUAGCUUCAUCGGGUGUCAGAGAAGACUUAAACUGUUGAAAAAAAAUAAAGAAAUGGUUGACUUGGAGUGCAAACUGUUAUGAUGAUGCAUUAUGUUUUUUCCCCCCAAUGUGAACAAUAAUUCUAUCAACCUGAAAAUACGACUUCAAUGAGAUAUGACUUCACUUCAUGAACAACAGUUAAACUGGUCGACUUCAGCAUACAUGGCUUUAUCUCUGCAUUCACGGAAACCCUGUGUAAAAACAGAAACGUUAUCCUGUCGGACAAACUGAUGACAGACGAGAUCGUAGCCUGUUGCGUGUCACACGUGUAUGUUUGUUCCUGGCAUACUGUCAGUUUUACAUAGUAAACACGAGUGAAUGGGGGGAGGAAGUUGCACCUGCCCCUUUGUUCUCUCCCCUGAUGGGGAGCUUUGUGUUUGUCCCAAAGCAUGGUGGAGUACAGUGACACAUUUCACUCCGUACACCACAAAGCUAGUGAAAUGAGACAUUAAGCAGCAGGCUUAGCUAUCAAGGAGCAUUUUAACAGAACAAUCCUGCCUACACACACACACACACACACACACAGAGAGAGAGAGAGAGAGAUACAUCUGAAAGAAAAGAAAUAAAUUGGGCGUUCUGCCAAGCCCAUUACCAUUUUUAAAAGCCUUUGCUGAUUUAAAGGACCCAAGUACUGAAAGCUGCGUCAUUUAAAGUGAAUUGAAUACAGUGUAAUGGACAGAGAAGACGUUUUGUUCAAGUUCAAACAACAUCUUCUCAGCUGCUUUAUCCAAUUUCUGAGAGCUUGGAGCUGCAGAAUGAAAGAAACAAAAAAACAUCUGAAAGAACAUCUGCAGCCUUGCAGGUCAGUCAUGCCCUGUUUGGGAAGGUUGGAAAAUUAAGAUCCAAGGAUAAACAUCAGAUCCCUGCAGAGAACAGCUACUCAUGUUUGAGUCCUCCAACCUGUACAAGUAAACAACCGCGAAGAACACUUUCAUAGCAUUUCACUUCAGAGCAGCAGAUUUCUACACCUGUGGCUUUCCUGGGCAGCAACAGCCAAUGAACAAAUAAUACAAAUGCUGAAAGUUGAACGUUUAUUUUUCAAAUACAAUCUGCUUUUAAUAUUAAUAAAAAUGACAGGAAAUCACACUUCUUUGUGUUCGGGUCUGCAGGGUCCAACCUGCAUUUCCUUUUCAUUGCGAUCACCAUCUUCUAGCUUAAGAUAGAGCAGCAUCUCCACGGGCAGCAGCGAGAGUAAACAGCUGCGCCUUUGUGUUAUGAGUGGUUACAGGUAAUCAACAAUGCAUCCACUUACCUAAGACUCUUCACAGAGGAGAUUGUUUUUCAGCUGCACUCAGUGAUUGAAAGCAUUAGUGAUGGAUGGCAAACUGCUUAGAUGCUUCACAGACGUUGACUGUGACCACCACCGCCGGGCCAUGAGUGGAAAACAUAUACAGCAGUUUAUUAUUUGCUAAUCUCUCACCUUUGUGUAAUGUGUUUUUGAAAUUGCACUCAGCCAGGAGUGUGUUGGUGGUGUUAGUUCUAACAGGAGUACCGUGGUUAGUCCAAAAAUGACAACAACAAAAAAUUUGAAAAUGAAGCACAGAAAAUAAUAAGAAAUGUUUUCACAGUGAGCGUACUAUAUGAUGACUGCUGCGAAGAAAACUAAAAGGUGUCAUUCUGGAGAUAGAAUACCAAACGUGGCCGAGGAUGGAGGCAGUGUGUGGAGAAACGACCGAAGACACACCUGAAAAAUAUUUUGGGUUUUUCCCCUUUUCCUCCACCUCACACAGUCACACCUGUUUUCCAAAGCAAAUGUUAUCAGACCAGUAACCAGCCAACCAAAUCAACCAGCUCAGCUCAGAUGCUUCCUUCUCCAGAACAACCGCUUUCUUAGUGAAUCACACACAGAGGGGCUCACAUCAAAUUACCUCUGCUGCAGCUUUAGGGGCAUCAACUCCACCAAAAUAUUUUUGGGUUUGUUCUGAGAAAAAUAAUAAUAAUAAAAUUCAAUGAAGAAAAUGAAAUCCAAAAGCUUAUCCACUGUAUCACGUUUAUCUGGUGAAGUAAUCCAGUUGAAAUCUGUUGAGAGUGGAACUGAUGGAACUGUGGUUCUGUACUGAAACAGGUCGAGAACCCAAAUUGGUUAUGAAUGUUGAUUUUAAUGCUUUGUUUUUCCUGGUUCUGUUCUUGGUUUCUGGCUUUAAACACCUUUUUGAACCUGUUUUUAUCUUCAUAAAAUAAAUGUCAUUAUUUAAAACAAAAGAAAACAGCAGACGCAGUUAAGGCGACGCUGCAGAUCAUCAGCUCUGCAUUAGUUUGUUUUUUAAGCAUGCAGAUGGUGCGGUGGGAAGAUAAUGGAAUAAAUUAGUUGCUUGCACACAUGUCCUGAUGCAUCACGGAAUAAAAGGUGUCAAACUCUCUCCCAGCAUUCAUCUGGAAGUGAUAAAUACAUUUGGUUGAUUUGCCGGUGCACUAGACAGCAUCCGGGCUACGACAACGUAUGUUAUUUUAUGUAGAUUGUACACAAAUUUAAAUGGUGAUUAUUGUAGAGCAGUCAUUCUUAACCAUGGGGUCACGGCCCAAACUUGGGCUGCCCGUGCCACCUACAGGGCCGCAAAAACCUUCAGUUUUGCACCUGUGGGCUGCAAGGGCCGCGGGACUGCAAAUGUUAUCAACUAAAGACACCAGGGAUAUGCUAUCAAUGAAAAGCUCAGUUACAAUGCAGCUUUCAACCAUUAGGUGGCAGUAAUGCAUCAGUCAGUUCUUUAAAAAGUGGAAAAGUCUUUCUGUCCAUGCUAGCUGUGGCAAAAAAUAUGGAGAAGACUACAUUUUUGUGUAGAUACAACCCGACUUCACCACUUUGUACUAUAAAAAUUGGGCCUCAACGUUGAAAAAGUUAAGAGCCCUCAUUAUAUAUAUACAUAUUUUAAUUUUCACUCAAGUUUCCUCUGUCUAUGAUUUCACUAUAACAUCUCAACACAACACGAAGGCCUGCGAAAAUGUGUGGAUAACGAUCAAAAUGUUUUUGUGUCAGAGCAGAACGUAAAGCUCGUCCAUCACGGACUUUAAGUAAACCAUCCUUUGAAGCAGUCACUUUGUCUUUCAUGUGCACUGCGUACUGCAUGCAGAGUACUAAUUAGUGUCUAAUAGAAACUGCAGGCAACAGGCAUGUGUGAAAGAACUAAUUUGAUUGUAGGCAGGCCAAUUAUGACCUAAUUACCCAGCUUUCCUUGCCUGGAUUAAAGCUCAGUGGGUGAACACUCACAUGCAUAACAAGGCCUCAGUAAAGGCAGUGAAAAACACACACCAGCCAUCUGGCAGAGUGAGGUGUAUUUGAGUUCCUGUCAGUUUUGUGUAUCUCUCUGUGGCUCACUGUCUGCAUGGGCAGCUGAGGUCUGGAGGCAUGCAAGCUGUUCGGUCUUUCACCUCUGCUCGCAGCCCCUCCCCUAGGUCAGCAGCUAUGCAUCAGAUCAAGUCAGGCCUCACGGGGUCAAGCAGCAGUGCCAGUACGGCCACAGUGAAGCAUGAAGCAGAGGAGGAUGGAAAUGAUUGGCUAGUUUAAACACACACUGUAACUACACUGUCAAUUUGUGAGAAUAUUAUUCUUAUUUACUGUUUUACUGCAGGUUUGGGUCAAACAUGUCUUCACUAUAUAUAACGGUUUGCUUCAAUAAUUCAUGAAUUAUUGAAUUAAUGAAUCCACAAUGAACAAAGAAAAAUGUUUUACUUGGACAUUAGUCAAUUCACUUAACACAUCUGUUCGAUUCAUAUUAUUAUAUAUUAAUAUUAUUUUCUGGGUUUUUUUUUUCGUUCUCUCUUUGGUUUGUCUGAGGUCACACAUGCACAUGUAAUCAUUAUUUAAUUUUAAACUUUAAAGGAAUUUCCUAAUUUUCCUAAUCCUAAUUUUCUCACAUUUUAUAUUUUAUAUUGAUACAU
This is a long non-coding RNA of Cynoglossus semilaevis (tongue sole), 5806 nucleotides long. RefSeq lists it as uncharacterized. The record is from RefSeq and is a predicted model, not a curated record. The transcript is spliced from 3 exons. Lineage: Eukaryota; Metazoa; Chordata; Actinopteri; Pleuronectiformes; Cynoglossidae.